UCUCCGUUGGUGAACCAGCGGAGGGAUCAUUACCGAGUUUACAACUCCCAAACCCAAUGCGAACCACACCAAACUGUUGCCUCGGCGGGGUCACGCCUCGGGUGCGUCGCAGCCCCGGAACCAGGCGCCCGCCGGAGGGACCAACCAAACUCUUUCUGUAGUCCCCUCGCGGACGUUAUUUUUACAGCUCUGAGCCAAAAUUCAAAAUGAAUCAAAACUUUCAACAACGGAUCUCUUGGUUCUG
Molecule: unclassified non-coding RNA, 244 nt
Filed under: plant metagenome
Description: partial contains small subunit ribosomal RNA, internal transcribed spacer 1, and 5.8S ribosomal RNA
Source: RNAcentral